Vombatus ursinus (common wombat) is the source of this 715-nucleotide long non-coding RNA. The record is from Ensembl. Lineage: Eukaryota; Metazoa; Chordata; Mammalia; Diprotodontia; Vombatidae.
CCUGCGAGCGGGCUGUGACCGCGACCCCGUCUCCUCUCCCCUGCCCUCCCCUCCAGUGGUCAAGCCAGGUCCCUGAGCUGCAGAGCGCCCUACCUGCCCACUCCACCCUUCUUACCUUUCGGAGCUGUAGCCGAGGGCAGUGGCGGAGACUGCCCUCUCCAACACCGUUUCCGAAAACCAGGGUGCUGGCGUUUCUGGUUUUGCAAGGCAGUUCCUAUUGCCCAACUCCCCCAAGAUCGGAGCAGCCAUCCAUUUUACAUUGUUUUAAUUUGAUCUCUUCCUCUUAUUUUGUAACCCUCUCUUAUUUUGUUAUCUCUUCUCUGUAAGCCAUCUAAAGACUCCCUGGCCUUGCUACUGCAGUCCAAUUGGCUUACUUUAUGUGGCAACGAAUCACUAGUUAUUUACUUCGAACCAAACAUAUUCUUAUAUUGUCCCCCAUAAGAUAAGAGCCGCAAGAUAUCUCAAAUACAAAGAAGAGGUUACACCACUUAUGUUCAACCUUAGGUUGAAAAUUCAUAGAACUUGCUCUGGAGCACUUUUCCUUCCUUCCUGCUUUUCUCAAGAUUCCUUGGGAGAGUUCAAGCAAAUAGAGUGGAAACGUUUUCACGGACUUGUAGGAGACAUAUAAUCCCAUUAGGUGUUAUUUUACUGAAGUGUACAUUUUGACACCACAUCAGGUUUUAUGGUAUUUGUGUUUUAAAUACAUUCCCCUGGC